AUUGAACGCUGGCGGAAUGCUUUACACAUGCAAGUCGAACGGCAGCACGGACUUCGGUCUGGUGGCGAGUGGCGAACGGGUGAGUAAUGUAUCGGAACGUGCCCAGUCGUGGGGGAUAACGUAGUGAAAAUUACGCUAAUACCGCAUGCGAUCUAUGGAUGAAAGCGGGGGAUCGCAAGACCUCGCGCGAUUGGAGCGGCCGAUAUCAGAUUAGGUAGUUGGUGGGGUAAAGGCCCACCAAGCCAACGAUCUGUAGCUGGUCUGAGAGGACGACCAGCCACACUGGAACUGAGACACGGUCCAGACUCCUACGGGAGGCAGUAGUGGGGAAUUUUGGACAAUGGGCGAAAGCCUGAUCCAGCCAUUCCGCGUGCAGGAUGAAGGCCCUCGGGUUGUAAACUGCUUUUGUACAGAACGAAAAGGUUUCUACUAAUACUAGGAGCUCAUGACGGUACUGUAAGAAUAAGCACCGGCUAACUACGUGCCAGCAGCCGCCGCAG
RNAcentral lists this ribosomal RNA (500 nucleotides) under uncultured bacterium. RNAcentral describes it as "partial 16S ribosomal RNA". It matches the Rfam family "Bacterial small subunit ribosomal RNA", at positions 30 to 523 of the family's 1533-position model. The record is from RNAcentral.